AUGAACGCUGGCGGCGUGCCUAAUACAUGCAAGUCGAGCGAACAGACGAGGAGCUUGCUCCUCUGACGUUAGCGGCGGACGGGUGAGUAACACGUGGAUAACCUACCUAUAAGACUGGGAUAACUUCGGGAAACCGGAGCUAAUACCGGAUAAUAUAUUGAACCGCAUGGUUCAAUAGUGAAAGACGGUUUUGCUGUCACUUAUAGAUGGAUCCGCGCCGCAUUAGCUAGUUGGUAAGGUAACGGCUUACCAAGGCGACGAUGCGUAGCCGACCUGAGAGGGUGAUCGGCCACACUGGAACUGAGACACGGUCCAGACUCCUACGGGAGGCAGCAGUAGGGAAUCUUCCGCAAUGGGCGAAAGCCUGACGGAGCAACGCCGCGUGAGUGAUGAAGGUCUUCGGAUCGUAAAACUCUAUUUUUAGGGAAGAACAAAUGUGUAAGUAACUAUGCACGUCUUGACGGUACCUAAUCAGAAAGCCACGGCUAACUACGUG
Molecule: ribosomal RNA, 496 nt
Filed under: uncultured bacterium
Lineage: Bacteria
Description: partial 16S ribosomal RNA
Rfam family: Bacterial small subunit ribosomal RNA
Source: RNAcentral